RNAcentral lists this ribosomal RNA (482 nucleotides) under uncultured bacterium. Its description in RNAcentral is "partial 16S ribosomal RNA". It matches the Rfam family "Bacterial small subunit ribosomal RNA", at positions 30 to 507 of the family's 1533-position model. The record is from RNAcentral.
AUUGAACGCUGGCGGCAUGCCUUACACAUGCAAGUCGAACGGUAACGGGCCUUCGGGUGCCGACGAGUGGCGAACGAGUGAGUAAUACAUCGGAACGUGCCCGAUCGUGGGGGAUAACGAGGCGAAAGCUUUGCUAAUACCGCAUACGAUCUACGGAUGAAAGCCGGGGACCGCAAGGCCUUGCGCGGACGGAGCGGCCGACGGCAGAUUAGGUAGUUGGUGGGAUAAAAGCUUACCAAGCCGACGAUCUGUAGCUGGUCUGAGAGGAUGAUCCGCCACACUGGGACUGAGACACGGCCCAGACUCCUACGGGAGGCAGCAGUGGGGAAUUUUGGACAAUGGGCGCAAGCCUGAUCCAGCCAUGCCGCGUGCAGGAUGAAGGCCUUCGGGUUGUAAACUGCUUUUGUACGGAACGAAAAGCCUUCUUUUAAUACAGGAGGGUCAUGACGGUACCGGAAGAAUAAGCACCGGCUAACUACGUG